CCACUUCUUAAUCUGAGAUUUUUUUUAUGCCAUUCUGAUGUUAGUGCCUUCAUUUUUGGCUAUUGGAUGGAUAAUAUUGUGCUAAUGGGUGGUGGAGAAAAAUUAUGUCAUGGGAAGCUAUGCGACGCAUCGAAGAAUCAUCGAGAAAAAUAUUCCGAAGAGUCCUUCUGCGUGAAGCAUCUCUUGAAUUUUUUUUUGAUGAUUGCC
Molecule: long non-coding RNA, 207 nt
Filed under: Elaeis guineensis (African oil palm)
Lineage: Eukaryota; Viridiplantae; Streptophyta; Magnoliopsida; Arecales; Arecaceae
Description: long non-coding RNA (EGUI_LNC013652)
Source: RNAcentral